AGUUCGAUCCUGGCUCAGAUUGAACGCUGGCGGGAUGCUUUACACAUGCAAGUCGAACGGCAGCACGGACUUCGGUCUGGUGGCGAGUGGCGAACGGGUGAGUAAUGUAUCGGAACGUGCCUAGUAGCGGGGGAUAACUACGCGAAAGCGUAGCUAAUACCGCAUACGCCCUUCGGGGGAAAGGGGGACCUUCGGGCCUCGCACUAUUAGAGCGGCCGAUAUCGGAUUAGCUAGUUGGUGGGGUAACGGCUCACCAAGGCGACGAUCCGUAGCUGGUUUGAGAGGACGACCAGCCACACUGGGACUGGAGAUUAUCGGCCCAGACUCCUACGGGAGGCAGCAGUGGGGAAUUUUGGACAAUGGGGGAAACCCUGAUCCAGCCAUCCCGCGUGUGCGAUGAAGGCCUUCGGGUUGUAAAGCACUUUUACAGGAAAGAAACGGCACGGGAUAAUACCCCGUGCAACUGACGGUACCUUGCAGAAUAAGCACCGGCUAACUACGUGCCAGCAGCCGCGGUAAUACGUAGUGCAAGCGUUAAUCGGAAUUAUUGGGCGUAAAGCGUGCGCAGGUUCGGAAAGAAAAGAUGUGAAAUCCCAGAGCUUAACUUUGGAACUGCAUUUUUAACUACCGAGCUAGAGUGUGUCAGGAGGGAGGUGGAAUUCCCGCGGCAGUGAAAUGCGUAUGCGGAGGAACACCGAUGGCGAAGGCAGCUCUGGGAUAACACUGACGUCGCCAUACACGAAAGCGUGGGGAGCAAACAGGAUUAGAUACCCUGGUAGUCCACGCCCUAAACGAUGUCAACUAGUUGGGGCCUUCGGGCCUUGGUAGCGCAGCUAACGCGUGAAGUUGACCGCCUGGGGAGUACGGUCGCAAGAUUAAAACUCAAAGGAAUUGACGGGGACCCGCACAAGCGGUGGAUGAUGUGGAUUAAUUCGAUGCAACGCGAAAACCUUACCUACCCUUGACAUGUUCAAAUCCCGAAGAGACGGGAGUGCUCGCAAGAGAACCGGAACACAGGUGCUGCAUGGCUGUCGUCAGCUCGUGUCGAGAUGCCAAGCCACAAGUCCCGCAACGAGCAACCCUUGUCAUUAGUUGCUACGAAAGGGCACUCUAAUGAGACUGCCGGUGACAAACCGGAGGAAGGUGGGGAUGACGUCAAGUCCUCAUGGCCCUUAUGGGUAGGGCUUCACACGUCAUACAAUGGUCGGGACAGAGUGGUCGCCAACCCGCGAGGGGGAGCCAAUCCCAGAAACCCGAUCGUAGUCCGGAUCGCAGUCUGCAACUCGACUGCGUGAAGUCGGAAUCGCUAGUAAUCGCGGAUCAGCAUGUCGCGGUGAAUACGUUCCUGGGUCUUGUACACACCGCCCGUCACACCAUGGGAGUGGGUUUACCAGAAGUAGUUAGCCUAACCGUAAGGAGGGCGAUUACCACGGUAGGAUUCAUGACUGGGUGAAGUCGUAACAAGGUAG
This 1469-nucleotide ribosomal RNA is filed under the name uncultured Bordetella sp. Its description in RNAcentral is "partial 16S-23S ribosomal RNA intergenic spacer". It matches the Rfam family "Bacterial small subunit ribosomal RNA". Lineage: Bacteria; Pseudomonadati; Pseudomonadota; Betaproteobacteria; Burkholderiales; Alcaligenaceae. The record is from RNAcentral.